UGCUGAUAAAAUCGAUAACAGACAAUCAGAUUAUACGAUGAAAAAAUCUACUAAAUUCGUAUCGGAAAGCGAAUACAAUUCUCGUCGUACCACAUAUAACAGAUCUUAUAAUAAUCAAAUCGUAAAGUCAAAGAAAAGUGUUUGUUGCCAAACGGACAGAUCGUAUCCUAUAAAAUCGGAAAAGCAUGUUAAACAUAAUCAAAAAGAAAAUUAUACUUCAACGAACACAUCGUCUUCUAAAGACAUUAAGACAAUCUUCGCGACUGACCGCGCGAAUUUCCAUAGCGAAAGGAGUAAGACAAAUUUAGAAUUGCUAGGAACUCGGUAUAUGAAGAAAAUAGCAUCGAGAAAACACGGAAACAACACAACAGAGAAAAGGCCGAGAAAAUACGAUACGGAGAAUUUGUCGAGAGUUCGUAGAAAAGAAAAUAAGUUUGUCAAACUUAAAAGACGCGGAACGAUUAAAAAUAUUAAUUUGUUACCAGAAAAUUUCUUCAGUAAUGGCAGCGUGACAAAUUUCGCCAGCGAUAAUCUGACGAAAAUACUGCGAAAGUAUAAUAGAAGAAAGGAAGCUUUAAGCGAAAACAGAAAGUAUGAUCUUCAAAGAAUGUUGAAUAACAGGAUGGAGAACGACGUCGAUAUAUCUAAAUCGAUAGCUUGCAACGACACGUAUUUUAUAGAUAGUACAGACCGUGUGGAAGACGAAGAAGGAAUUAUGCUUGAAAAUUCUGUUUCCGUUGAAUCCAAUGUAAAUUCACUAAAAACUUCAAACGUGUCAUGGAAAUCGAACAAUUAUUUGGUCGAAGAUAAAACUUCCGAAGUGAUAAUCCUUGGAAACGUGAAGAAACGAUUGGAAGAGGACUAUGAUGAUUAUUUUUCGCUUCACGAUGACGAUCUUUUCCACGAUGCAGAGGAUUCAAACGAUAUUUUAGAAAUAGAUCAACCUUCUACAGAAGUUACUAUGAAUCACUAUGAUUACUAUCGAUACACGUUAUAUAAUAUUUACCCCAACGAACCGAAAUCUGUACUGGUGACAACGUCGGCAACGAAGCACCAAAAAACGAAGCAAGAAUUGACAGAACAGUCGGUACAAACCUCCCGAAACCGUACAUCUUCCAUUCACAAAUUCCGUUUUGCAAAUUCGAACUUGAAUUGCAAUCGCAGCUCGUUAAGAGAGCAAGAAUGCAGUCCAAGCUCGUCGAUCGAGUAUUGCUCCGCUAGGGACAUUUCUUUAUCAAAGUUGCAAUUGUCCCACGACGAUUGUUUUUCAAAUGACGUUUCGUUCAAAGACGACAACAUGUUACAAGACACUAGGGAAUUUUUCGAUCACAUCCCAGUGGAUUCCUACACUGUGUGCUAUUACCAACGGAACUCAACGCCAAACUUUUCGAAUUCGUCUAAAUUGAUCACCGAAUCUCUAGAUUCUGGAACCUUAACUGACUGUUCACGUGGUCAGUUUCGAAAUACGUCGAACGAACGACCUAACGAGAAAAGCGAGAAGAAGGUUAGAGAAGAGUGGAAAGGUUAUGUGAGAAAAGUGGAUUUGCUGCCUACCUACGAUUUUGACACGGAUAGCAGUUAUUCAGAUGAAUCGCUUGAUCGAAGAAUCGAUGUUGUGAUCAAAGAAUUCACGGAGAAUCUGAUUCUAAGUGAAAGAAAGGCGAAGACGAGAUUGAGAAAGAUGGAAAAUUCUACGAGACACAGGCCGACGAGUAAACGACGGAGGAAUAGGCAACAAGCACAGAGGGUAAGAGGGUGCAUUUCAAAACGAAGCUCUACCAGCAAAUUCGAAUCUUCUCCGCGGCUGAACGACGAUGAUUGGGUCAUAAGUAGCUCCACGCCACCCUUGUUCUCCUUUUCUGAUUCUGAAAUCGAUCACAUAUAGUUUUCUAAGAAAUCGGAACAAGUAUCACGCCUUAAAGCACAAUUUGAAGAUACGAAAUUACCAAUCUCCAAUUAUUUCAACUAGUUUUGUUGAGUCGCAGAACUUGUUACUAACCAAACACGCAAAUAAGCAAACAGAACAACAAAAGAGCAGAGUUCCGUGAAAGGACGCUAAGUGAGAGAAGUGUGAAAAGUCAAAGUGCUCGGAGACGCGGCAACAAUGAAAAUGUAGAGACACGUCGAUUCUAGACUGGUCCAACAGAAGUUCGACCACAUCAUUAGACGAGGCUGACCGUCUUUGUAAUGUGGUUUCCUUUGAGGGCAAGGCGACGAAACGAGAGGACACUCGAUAGCCAGCCGAGCGGAAAUGCAUAAACGACCAACAGACUGGCCCGGACUGGCCUUUUCCACGUUCUCUGUCGUGUCGACAAGGUACAAGACUACGACGUCUUUCUCUUCUCAAUCUUUCUGUGUAUCAGUUGCCCAACAUCAAUAGACAACGGGGCAACCAAUUCUCUAUUAAACGAAGGGUCCGGAAAAGUCUGCUGGAAAAACUGACGUCGCUACCGAACGACGCUACCGAUCAAAAGAAAUCUCGCUUUGGAUACUGAACGCUGGUCAUUUCCUGGAAAUUACUUUCCGUUCCUUUCACCGGAACGCGUACACAGUCUCUUCGUCUCUUUUACUUCCGGUCUCUGUCCUUCUUGGUUCUCGUGAUACAAAACGGUCUUGACGUAUUUAAAUUGUUUCACGAUCCUCUUGAUGCCGAAAAGAGAUCAUUGCGAGUACGGCUGCGUAGAAUGAAGAAAAGUUACAGAUAUUUGGUUAUGAUAUACCGAACCCCCUUGCAUGACUAAAUUAAUAUCAUUGACGACAUUUUACAGGUUACAAGUUGGAUGUGUUUGUGACAGCGUUUGAUAGCAAUGUUUUCGGUGAUAAAUCGAAUGGAGUUUUUUUAAGUUUCAAAUUAUUUUAUUUAACGUGAAAUUGUACGAUUGUAGAACCAAGGUCUAUAUAAUCUUCAAUUGUUAGAAUUUAUAACUUGCCAAUUUAUUAAUAUCAUCGACAGAUACAUUUCUUUUUAUUUCGGCUUUAUGUCGCAUUGGCACCUGAAUUAUUAGCGACCAUCUCGCCUCGUUAUUCUUAAAUUAGGUUUCGUGGUAAAACUCAGUUUCUUUGGGUAAUUUAGAACGUCGAUGAUGUGAUCCUGUGAUAUGAAGGCGGAGUUUGCAUUCAAUUUGUACUCGAGUCGUUGGGUUCUAUAUUUUCCAUAUUCUUAUGUGUUCAAAGAUUAAUACCUAUACUUAGGAUUAAUACUUAACUAUAGGUAUCUGGACACUAAUAUUAAUUACUUCGUAUUUUUUUAGUUCCAUUUUCUCGAAAGCGUAUCGCCUCUUUUCGACGAUCUUAUUCUAUAUUUUUUAUUUACCGUUUAUUAAUAAAAAGUGCAGAAGAUUAAUGGCUGUACACUAAGAACGCAAGCGUUAGGUUUCCAACGAUGCUCUUAUUACAUGAAAAAUCAAUAUCUAUAGGCGUCGUUAUAUUUUUUAUGCGUAAAACACAUGUCUCCUUAAAUUUCUCAAAAAUUAAUUCGCUAUCCACGAAACUGCAAAAGCAACGGCAACCAGACCAUUUAGCCUAUGUGCUGGUUUAAUCAAAAUCACGAUCGAAAGGAGCAUAAUUACCGGAGUACGCUUGGUGGCGGGUCGAAAGAGACAGAGAAGGGAAGAAAAGAACUGGAAGAAGGUGGGGUGGUUAGGGUAGAACGGCGGUUGGAUUCAAGCAUCGGAGAAAUCCGCAUUCACGUAAAGGAGGAUCAGCCGUGGAAAAGCAUCUUACACCGAGUCUACGAUAUCUAAUUCCCGAGAGCUCUUUGAUAUAGGUAUAUAUGCCCACACCGGUUCGUUCUGUCGCAGCGAGAGAGUCUAUACAAAGGGAGAAAUAAAUAUCACAGUAAUCUCAGAUCCGCUAUGUGGGACACACUGGAGAUCUUCGACGUCCUCGUCAUCCGUGUACCCAGCCACUAGUUCAUUGGCAACGCUUGCUAUUUAACGUAGGUCUGUAUGUAUGCGUACCCUGCCAAUGAAUAUGAGAAUUUUACUCGGUUUAUGUACUAUGUAUUAUCUAUCGUUUUCAAUAAUUAUCAGAUAAAUUCAUUGUGAUAGAUAAAUUCAGAAGAAUAUAUGCAUAUUUAAAAGAAGAAAAUUUUUUGUCACUUUUAUUUUACGUGUAUUGCGCAACACUCUCUGAAAUUUAAUUACAUUAUAUCGAAAAAAAUUAUGACCAAUAUGAAAAUGUACAUGUACAGGGUGGUUGGUAACUGGUGGUGCAAGCGGAAAGGGGGUGAUUCUACGCGAAAAAAGAAGUCGAAGAUAUAGAAUAAAAAUAUUUUUUAAUUUUUUUUUUUACACGCGUACCGAGCGAAAAUUCAAAGUCGAUUUUCUCGAAA
Bombus huntii is the source of this 4333-nucleotide RNA transcript. RefSeq lists it as uncharacterized. The record is from RefSeq and is a predicted model, not a curated record. The transcript is spliced from 3 exons. Lineage: Eukaryota; Metazoa; Arthropoda; Insecta; Hymenoptera; Apidae.